RNAcentral lists this ribosomal RNA (1439 nucleotides) under uncultured organism. RNAcentral's name for it is "16S ribosomal RNA". It matches the Rfam family "Bacterial small subunit ribosomal RNA". The record is from RNAcentral.
GUGCUUAACACAUGCAAGUCGAACGGAAAGGCCCUGCUUUUGUGGGGUGCUCGAGUGGCGAACGGGUGAGUAACACGUGAGUAACCUGCCCUUGACUUUGGGAUAACUUCAGGAAACUGGGGCUAAUACCGGAUAGGAGCUCCUGCUGCAUGGUGGGGGUUGGAAAGUUUCGGCGGUUGGGGAUGGACUCGCGGCUUAUCAGCUUGUUGGUGGGGUAGUGGCUUACCAAGGCUUUGACGGGUAGCCGGCCUGAGAGGGUGACCGGCCACAUUGGGACUGAGAUACGGCCCAGACUCCUACGGGAGGCAGCAGUGGGGAAUAUUGCACAAUGGGCGGAGGCCUGAUGCAGCAACGUCGCGUGCGGGAUGACGGCCUUCGGGUUGUAAACCGCUUUCGCCUGUGACGAAGCGUGAGUGACGGUAAUGGGUAAAGAAGCACCGGCUAACUACGUGCCAGCAGCCGCGGUGAUACGUAGGGUGCGAGCGUUGUCCGGAUUUAUUGGGCGUAAAGGGCUCGUAGGUGGUUGAUCGCGUCGGAAGUGUAAUCUUGGGGCUUAACCCUGAGCGUGCUUUCGAUACGGGUUGACUUGAGGAAGGUAGGGGAGAAUGGAAUUCCUGGUGGAGCGGUGGAAUGCGCAGAUAUCAGGAGGAACACCAGUGGCGAAGGCGGUUCUCUGGGCCUUUCCUGACGCUGAGGAGCGAAAGCGUGGGGAGCGAACAGGCUUAGAUACCCUGGUAGUCCACGCUGUAAACGGUGGGUACUAGGUGUGGGGUCCAUUCCACGGGUUCCGUGCCGUAGCUAACGCUUUAAGUACCCCGCCUGGGGAGUACGGCCGCAAGGCUAAAACUCAAAGGAAUUGACGGGGCCCCCCACAAGCGGCGGAGCAUGCGGAUUAAUUCGAUGCAACGCGUAGAACCUUACCUGGGUUUGACAUGGAUCGGGAGUGCUCAGAGAUGGGUGUGCCUCUUUUGGGGUCGGUUCACAGGUGGUGCAUGGCUGUCGUCAGCUCGUGUCGUGAGAUGUUGGGUUAAGUCCCGCAACGAGCGCAACCCUUGUUCACUGUUGCCAGCACGUUAUGGUGGGGACUCAGUGGAGACCGCCGGGGUCAACUCGGAGGAAGGUGGGGAUGACGUCAAGUCAUCAUGCCCCUUAUGUCCAGGGCUUCACGCAUGCUACAAUGGCUGGUACAGAGAGUGGCGAGCCUGUGAGGGUGAGCGAAUCUCGGAAAGCCGGUCUCAGUUCGGAUUGGGGUCUGCAACUCGACCUCAUGAAGUCGGAGUCGCUAGUAAUCGCAGAUCAGCAACGCUGCGGUGAAUACGUUCCCGGGGCUUGUACACACCGCCCGUCAGGUCAUGAAAGUUGGUAACACCCGAAGCCGGUGGCCUAACCGUUGUGGGGGAGCCGUCGAAGGUGGGACUGGUGAUUAGGACUAAGUCGUA